GCUCCCGUAGUGUAGUCCGGUCAAUCAUCCCGGCCUUUCGAGCCGGAGACCCGGGUUCAAAUCCCGGCGGGAGCA
RNAcentral lists this transfer RNA (75 nucleotides) under Candidatus Altarchaeales archaeon. RNAcentral describes it as "Candidatus Altiarchaeales archaeon tRNA-Glu". It matches the Rfam family "tRNA". From Rfam's summary of the family: Transfer RNA (tRNA) molecules are approximately 80 nucleotides in length. Their secondary structure includes four short double-helical elements and three loops (D, anti-codon, and T loops). Further hydrogen bonds mediate the characteristic L-shaped molecular structure. tRNAs have two regions of fundamental functional importance: the anti-codon, which is responsible for specific mRNA codon recognition, and the 3' end, to which the tRNAs corresponding amino acid is attached (by aminoacyl-tRNA synthetases). tRNAs cope with the degeneracy of the genetic code in two manners: having more than one tRNA (with a specific anti-codon) for a particular amino acid; and 'wobble' base-pairing, i.e. permitting non-standard base-pairing at the 3rd anti-codon position. RNAcentral also lists the same sequence under 1 other name. Lineage: Archaea; Nanobdellati; Candidatus Altarchaeota; Candidatus Altarchaeia; Candidatus Altarchaeales. The record is from RNAcentral.